Molecule: non-coding RNA, 1833 nt
Organism: Caretta caretta (loggerhead turtle)
Lineage: Eukaryota; Metazoa; Chordata; Testudines; Cheloniidae
Source: RefSeq, a predicted model, not a curated record
CAGCUCGUCGUAGUCCCGCAUGCCCCGUAGUCCCCAGCAGCUGCGCGCACGGCACCGUCUGGACAUGAGGCGCGGCGCCCUCCGCACCCGGCCUCGCCUGUCACCUCCGCGGAGGACAUGGGGUUGAUGCGGUCUUCCAGCUGCUCAAAAGGCAACAAAACUGCUCCUCUGAGGUAUUUUGGACUUAGUGGCAGCAUCCUUACAGCUUCGGCCAGAAGUAGACUGAACCCCCUCCUACAGCUGCUGACGAUGCUGAUGCCCCCGCAUAGAUUGUCCUGGUUUCACAAGGCUGCCUCCUGGAGAACGCUGCAGGGGAAUCUGUUGGGAUUCACUUUAAGGCUGCUUCUAAAGUCUCUCCAUUGUAGGGGGAUUUGCUAUGUGCUGUUCAGUGACGUCUUUAAAAGCUCCCUCGGAAUUGUUUAUGAAAUCUCAUAUCAUUCAGACUGUCACAGCAAGAUAUCAAAGGUAUAUAGGAGGCUCGCUCUCUCUCUCUCUCUCUUUCUCUGCCUCCCCGGUAAGCCUGGAAGAGAAAGUGAAGCUGGAAGUGCUGGUCUGGCAGGCAGAGACAAUAGCCACAGGCUGUGCAAACAGUACUGGAGUUCUGUGAGAGCUUUGAGGGGAAGCUUAGAUUUCCUUUCCCCUUAAAUUAAAAAAAUCUGUGCUGAAUUUGUAUAAGGUCAGUGGCUGUUUUUAUUCAUAGUGCUUUGCACUUAUAUAGCCCUGAGCCUCUGAUCUCAGCUCUCUCUGCAAACAUCCCUUUAAUUUAGCUUUGCAACCACCUCCACAUCCCCUCUUAUCCUCAUCCCUGCUUUACAAAUGCCACAAACUCAGCCCACUUCCAUCUCCUGCUCCUUUGCCUUAACCAGAAGGCUAUCCUUUCUGCCCUUGUCAAGGACUUAGGCCCUCUGCAGCACCUCCAUGGGAUAGAUGGGGUAAUAUACUCUCCGAAGGGCAGAAUCUCAUCAUCCAGAUUGGGGUGGUUAACCUCUCUGUCCAUAGAAUGGGAACUCUGAGCUCUGGCUGAGUUCCUUCAGCUUACUCCUUGGGGUUCAGAGGAAACAAAAACAGGUGAAGGCAGAGAAGAAAAGAAACAAACAAGUUCCAAAUGAGCCACCGGCCUCUCUUCCUUCAAGUGGCCUUGGGCAAGCUGCAGUUGGGCUCAGUGUCCUUUGGUUAACCACCAGACAGUGUAUUGAGGUAAUUGUUUAUAGUCUGGCCUAGUGGCCUGCGUUUCUGUCAGGGUGCUCAGAUAGACCAUAGGCAUGGGGCAAUGUUCUGGAGGAGCUAGUGAGGAAGUCAAAUGUAAAAGAGUCCCAUUUAAACCUAACACAUAUAGGCAACCAACUGAAUAUUGACAAAACAUACAAGUGCUUAUGUAGAAAUGCUAGAAGUCUAAAUACUAAGAUGGGUAAACUAGAGUGCCUGGCAUUAAAUGAGGAUAAAUAUUGUGGAAUGAGGAUAAUCAAUGGGAUGUGGUAACACCAGUGUACAAAAUAUAUAGGAAUGACAGAGUAGGAUGUGCUGGUGGCGGAGUGGCACUAUAUGUGAAAGAAACUAUAGAGUCAAAUAAAGUAAAAACCUUAAAUGAAACAAACUGUACCACAGAAUCUCUAUGGAUAGAAAUUCCAUGCUUGAACAAAAACAGUAUAGCAGAAGGAAUAUACUACCAACCACAUCACCAGGAUGAAGGCAGUUAUUGUGAAAUGCUCAGGGAGAUUACAGAGGCUACAAAGGCAGAAAAUGCUUUAAUAAUGGAGGAUUUCAACUCUCCUCAUAUUGACUCGAUACAUGUCACCUCAGAAUGGGAUGCAGGAAUAAAAUUUCUAAACACCA